UAAGGAAUAUUGGUCAAUGGACGCAAGUCUGAACCAGCCAUGCCGCGUGCAGGAUGACGGCCUUAUGGGUUGUAAACUGCUUUUGUCAGGGAAUAAACCCUUGUUUGCGAACAAGGCUGAAGGUACCUGAAGAAUAAGCAUCGGCUAACUCCGUGCCAGCAGCCGCGGUAAUACGGAGGAUGCAAGCGUUAUCCGGAUUCAUUGGGUUUAAAGGGUGCGCAGGCGGACUGAUAAGUCAGUGGUGAAAUCCUACGGCUCAACCGUGGCACUGCCAUUGAUACUGUCAGUCUUGAGUAUAGUUGAAGUGGGCGGAAUGUAGCAUGUAGCGGUGAAAUGCAUAGAUAUGCUACAGAACACCAAUAGCGAAGGCAGCUCACUAAGUUAUAACGGACGCUCAUGCACGAAAGCGUGGGGAUCAAACAGGAUUAGAUACCCUGGUAGUCCACGCUGUAAACGAUGAUCACUCGUUGUUGGCAAUACAUCGUCAGCGACUAAGCGAAAGUGAUAAGUGAUCCACCUGGGGAGUACGGUCGCAAGAUUG
RNAcentral lists this ribosomal RNA (541 nucleotides) under uncultured bacterium. RNAcentral describes it as "bacterial SSU rRNA". It matches the Rfam family "Bacterial small subunit ribosomal RNA", at positions 355 to 896 of the family's 1533-position model. The record is from RNAcentral.